UACGUAGGGGGCAAGCGUUGUCCGGAUUUAUUGGGCGUAAAGGGCGUGUAGGCGGCCAAACAGGUCAGCUGUGAAAACUCGAGGCUCAACCUCGAGACGUCGGUUGAAACCGUUUGGCUAGAGUCCGGAAGAGGAGAGUGGAAUUCCCGGUGUAGCGGUGAAAUGCGCAGAUAUCGGGAAGAACACCCGUGGCGAAGGCGGCUCUCUGGGACGGUACUGACGCUGAGACGCGAAAGCGUGGGGAGCGAACAGG
Molecule: ribosomal RNA, 253 nt
Filed under: uncultured bacterium
Lineage: Bacteria
Description: partial 16S ribosomal RNA
Rfam family: Bacterial small subunit ribosomal RNA
Source: RNAcentral